RNAcentral lists this transfer RNA (74 nucleotides) under Marmota monax (woodchuck). RNAcentral's name for it is "tRNA.Ala". The record is from RNAcentral. Lineage: Eukaryota; Metazoa; Chordata; Mammalia; Rodentia; Sciuridae.
GCUGGGGUUGUGGCUCAGUGGUAGAGUGCUUGCCUGGCAUGUGUGAUGACCUGUGUUCAAUCCUCAGCACAGCA